Molecule: ribosomal RNA, 323 nt
Filed under: uncultured eukaryote
Lineage: Eukaryota
Description: partial 18S ribosomal RNA
Rfam family: Eukaryotic small subunit ribosomal RNA
Source: RNAcentral
CCCUUAGAUGUUCUGGGCUGCACGCGUGCUACAAUGGCGCUUGCAACAAGAUUGCCAACCCGAAAGGGUGAGCGGAUCUUUGAAGUGGCGUCGUGAUCGGGACAGUUGAUUGCAAUUAUUCGACUCGAACGAGGAAUUCCUUGUAAUCGCGAUUCAUCAUAUCGCGCUGAAUACGUCCCUGCCCUUUGUACACACCGCCCGUCGCACCUACCGAUUGGAUGGUCCGGUGAAGCCUCGGGAUUGUGGUUCUUGCCGCUUUAUUGUGGCGUGACCGCGAGAACUUGUCUAAACCUUAUCAUCUAGAGGAAGGUGAAGUCGUAACA